RNAcentral lists this ribosomal RNA (642 nucleotides) under uncultured bacterium. RNAcentral describes it as "bacterial SSU rRNA". It matches the Rfam family "Bacterial small subunit ribosomal RNA", at positions 90 to 770 of the family's 1533-position model. The record is from RNAcentral.
GCUGAGCGGCGGACGGGUGAGUAACGCGUGGGUACCUGCCUCAUACAGGGGGAUAACAGUUAGAAAUGACUGCUAAUACCGCAUAAGGCCGCAUGGUAAAAACUCCGGUGGUAUGAGAUGGACCCGCGUCUGAUUAGCUGGUUGGUGGGGUAACGGCCUACCAAGGCGACGAUCAGUAGCCGACCUGAGAGGGUGACCGGCCACAUUGGGACUGAGACACGGCCCAAACUCCUACGGGAGGCAGCAGUGGGGAAUAUUGCACAAUGGGGGAAACCCUGAUGCAGCAACGCCGCGUGAGGAAGAAGUAUUUCGGUAUGUAAACUCUAUCAGCAGGGAAGAAAGUGACGGUACCUGACUAAGAAGCCCCGGCUAACUACGUGCCAGCAGCCGCGGUAAUACGUAGGGGGCAAGCGUUAUCCGGAUUUACUGGGUGUAAAGGGAGCGUAGACGGCACAGCAAGUCUGAAGUGAAAUCCCCGGGCUCAACCCGGAACUGCUUUGGAAACUGUUGGGCUGGAGUGCUGGAGAGGCAAGCGGAAUUCCUAGUGUAGCGGUGAAAUGCGUAGAUAUUAGGAGGAACACCAGUGGCGAAGGCGGCUUGCUGGACAAUAACUGACGUUGAGGCUCGAAAGCGUGGGGAGCA